Molecule: ribosomal RNA, 270 nt
Filed under: uncultured archaeon
Lineage: Archaea
Description: partial 16S ribosomal RNA
Rfam family: Archaeal small subunit ribosomal RNA
Source: RNAcentral
CAGCACCUCAAGUGGUCAGGAUGAUUAUUGGGCCUAAAGCAUCCGUAGCCGGCGCUGUAAGUUUUCGGUUAAAUCUGUGCGCUCAACGUACAGGCUGCCGGGAGUACUGCAGCGCUAGGGAGUGGGAGAGGUAGACGGUACUCGGUAGGAAGGGGUAAAAUCCUUUGAUCUAUUGAUGACCACCUGUGGCGAAGGCGGUCUACCAGAACACGUCCGACGGUGAGGGAUGAAAGCUGGGGGAGCAAACCGGAUUAGAUACCCGUGUAGUCC